UUAGUUUCUAAAACUGUAAUGGAAGACCUUGAGUUUUCAUGUAGUAUCUGAAUUGAUCAUGUUUAUUGCUUUAUUUGUACACCACCUCGACAUACAAGCACAAAAGAAUACAAGGGUUUGCACGCAAUCAGCUUAAACGCAAACCCACUACCACACCUUUUCUCUUUGAAAUAAACGAUAAUAUAGAUGUACGCAUGGGCUUCUGCAUGGGCGCGGCGUGCCGCCGCGCCUUCUGCCUGCUAGUAAUAUAUAUAGGGACAGAUUGGUGCACAUAUAUGGAGGAUCUAUUAAGUGCAAUAGAGGUUGAUGGAAUGAUUGACAUGGAUUGUUUACCCCUUUAUUUCUUUCCAAAGUAAGUAUUUGGCCCCUACGUCGCCAAUGGACUGAUUACCCUUUAUUUCUUUCCAAAGUAAGUAUUUGGCCCCUACAUUUUGCCAAUGAAUUG
RNAcentral lists this long non-coding RNA (445 nucleotides) under Hordeum vulgare. RNAcentral's name for it is "long non-coding RNA (HVUL_LNC014254)". Lineage: Eukaryota; Viridiplantae; Streptophyta; Magnoliopsida; Poales; Poaceae. The record is from RNAcentral.